GACGAACGCUGGCGGCGUGCUUAACACAUGCAAGUCGAACGGAAAGGCCCUGCUUUUGUGGGGUGCUCGAGUGGCGAACGGGUGAGUAACACGUGAGUAACCUGCCCUUGACUUUGGGAUAACUUCAGGAAACUGGGGCUAAUACCGGAUAGGAGCUCCUGCUGCAUGGUGGGGGUUGGAAAGUUUCGGCGGUUGGGGAUGGACUCGCGGCUUAUCAGCUUGUUGGUUGGGUAGUGGCUUACCAAGGCUUUGACGGGUAGCCGGCCUGAGAGGGUGACCGGCCACAUUGGGACUGAGAUACGGCCCAGACUCCUACGGGAGGCAGCAGUGGGGAAUAUUGCACAAUGGGCGGAAGCGUGAUGCAGCAACGCCGCGUGCGGGAUGACGGCCUUCGGGUGGUAAACCGCUUUCGCCUGUGACGAAGCGUGAGUGACGGUAAUGGGUAAAGAAGCACCGGCUAACUACGUG
RNAcentral lists this ribosomal RNA (468 nucleotides) under uncultured bacterium. RNAcentral's name for it is "partial 16S ribosomal RNA". It matches the Rfam family "Bacterial small subunit ribosomal RNA", at positions 28 to 507 of the family's 1533-position model. The record is from RNAcentral.